Molecule: long non-coding RNA, 4529 nt
Organism: Bombus terrestris (buff-tailed bumblebee)
Lineage: Eukaryota; Metazoa; Arthropoda; Insecta; Hymenoptera; Apidae
Exons: 7
Source: RefSeq, a predicted model, not a curated record
CCCUUCGUCUCCGUUGCAUCGUUUCGCGGCACUGGCCGCAUAGUGGCGCCACUCUUGCGACGGAUUAUUAUGGGGCAAUUUUCUGAAAUAAUUUGCAAUUUUCUUCCGGUAGCGGUUAUGAGACAUUGUGAAGUUUCUUGAUCGAUAGCUUGAAUAUAAACGUGAAAAAUGUGAGUAUUUUAUUGAUGAAGAUAAUUAAAACUGGAUGAAGGCGAAAUCGUAAUAAUGGCUUAAGAUCGCGGACAGUUUGAAGGGGCUCACCCGGAAUGGACAGCCUAUAUAAAUAUCCCCUCCAGGGGACGAGAAGACUCGGUGCAAACGAGUGAUCCAGGAGAAAGCCUCUCGUUCGAUUGGCCCCACGAACCGGUAUAACCGAGACAAUUCCAGUUUAUUUGCAGACAGAAAGCAAGUCAGCCAUUCUGCUCACCGAACUCGAUUUGUGCACGAAUUCGACGCAAGCAACGCGAUGUAUUGAUCACACGUUGCGAUCUAAUGGGUCACGAAACACUAUCGAGCUAUAAAUACUUAGCUGUAAUCGAUAUCAAUUGAUGUGCUCGUCGAUCAGAAAGAUUUAAUCGAAAUUCACAGUGGCCGCAGGUUUGGCUAUUCCUCUAUACAUUCAGCAAAAACGAAACAUCAGUGAAAGGGAAACUAUUAAGCUUUAAACGACAGAGAGAAGCACUCAUACGAUCCUAGUAAUAAUUCGACGUUGUUAAAUACCAAUCAGGAGAAUUCAGCAACGACCGGUUUAUCGGAUCGUUCUAAACGUAGAACUGUUCUUCGAACUUCUAGAGCAGAAAAGAAAAUUGCCUGUAUAUACCGGUUUGUGAACGAAUUUCAAGCGCCUUUUCCAAGCGCAAAAUAUUCGCGUCAGCUUGAACGAAACAGGAUCGAGAGAAGUGAGAGGCGGCUUAUAGUAUGUAUAUGGUGGCGCGAUCUUAUGCAAUCUCAUGAUAGGAAUCAUGGGUCAGUCACUUGGCCGGCUCAUGGUGCUUCCAUGCGUUAUGAUUCUCCGGCCAGGAAAAAAGAACUGUCGUACGGCAGACAGCUUUUAUCGAAGACAUAGGUUACGACCAUGGUACUACAUAUUGUAGCAAAUUGUAAAAUAUCAAUGAAGAGAAAGCUAUAGUUAUUCUUUGUUUAUCUAUAAUGGAGAUCAAGACGAGAACUUCUACCUAGUAAUUGAUCAUCAAUGUUGUCAAAAUACUAUACAAACAUAACAUUAAUACAUAAUACUAAUACAAACACAAUACUGGAAAAUACUACGAUUUCAUACAACGUAAUACCAUAAUAAUCAACAUAUAAAUUAACAUAUAACAAAGAAGAUUCUAUUGAAAAGUAAAUGAACACUUCCCCCAGGAGAAAGAUAGAGCUACUCGAUCUCAUAAACUCUUUACACACCCAAACAACGUAAUAUCGUAAUAAUUAAUUGACAAUAAAGAAGAUUAGAUUCCAUUGUUAAACGUCGUGUCUAACAAAACGCAUGUACUACGUGACGAACUGAUAUUAGUCAAACGCACAAGAAUUUAGAAAGUAACGGGUCACUUACGAGCCUCAAUUACUCCCAACAUCGAACGAUACGUUUGCAAAACGUUUUAAUAUUUCAAAGUACCGAGGGAAGGUCUCAGCUUAGAAAGUAUACGAUUUUUAUCUCACGGAUGAAUAAUAUCCCGACCAGGGAGCAUCGAUUCACCUGCGGGUGAUAAAACGAAUCAUAAAUUUCUCUUACUUUCACUCUCGUUCGUUUACAUUGUUACGGAUAAUUGAUCGAGUGUAGUUUGCUGAUUAGAACAGAUUACCAGGUAUCCUUGCGAGAUUAACCUAACAAUGAUGAAGCUUCCCUUCAUCAGUUUGGAUUUCAUUCUCUAUCUUUAUUUUGUCUCUUUUUCGUCCAUUCUUUGUUUCCAUUUUAUUGAUUUAUACAUUGUUUUUAUCAAAUUUAUUUUCCUUUUUAUUAUCAUUUAUAUUUUUCCCCCGAUAUCUUUUAUAUUUUUUAGUAUUUUUAGUUUCUUUGCUAUAUCUUGUAAUUUCUCUGUCAACUUUGCUUUUUUUAUUGUUUUCAUUGUAUUCGUUACCUUCCUUUUGACUUUCUACGUAUAUUAUAUCUAUAUUAUAGGAAAUCGAUUUCUUUCUCUUAUUAUUUCUCUUACAUAUAAAGCAAUUCACUAAUAAACGCCGCUAACAAAUCUCGCUCUUAUGAAAUUGCUGAUGUUUCUAACCAAUGACUCUAGUUAUCUCUUUCUAUCAUUAUACAAUUUAAUCUCUCCUAAGUUUUUCUACAUCGAACUUAAUUUUACUUUUUAAUACAUUUCCACAAAUUCUAAAUAAAAAUAGACAACCAUAUCUCAUGUCCUUUAUUAACUAGUUUUACUCUUUUCCUAGCGAGAGGAGCCCUCAAUAAAACACCUAAUUAAUGAACUUUGUAACCAACAAAAAUGACCUGAAAGUCUAUAUCAUUUUUCUUCAUUGUCUCCAACAAACUUCUAGCGAAACCGAAAGCGAAAAGCUAGGAUUAAAAGGAAAAAAGGAAGUGGUAUCGUGCAAGCUAAUUUUGGUGAACGUGUUUCCGCGAUAGCACACGGAAACAACCUGAAGCAACCAGCCCAUCAAACUAACCGCCUUUCUUCCUCCUGGUACUAGAAAGCUUCCAUGGAAUUACACAAAAUUACAAUCGGACGUCAAGCUUGGCCUUUUCUAUUCCUAUCCCAUUCUUCGCCCGUAUUGCGUUACAUCUGGAGGAUACACGAAGUCCUAGAAACGAUGGAUUACUAUCAUGAAUCUAAUUGAUUGCGAAGACAAUGGAUUUUUCUAUCUGUGACAACAUUGCCUCCACUUUGAGGAUCGUCAUAGGUGAAAGCGAGACAAAUUCCUCCACUGUGUCCAGCCCCCUACUGCUCUUUCUCUGUAAUUACUUUAAUAAUCCACCUUCGUAUCAACCUUAUUUCCAAUGUCCUAGGAACUCCUUUCCCUGGCCACACAGUUUAGGUUGUUUCUUAAGUUUGUCUGGACAAUAGGUGUGACAUCAUAUUAUUGAUAAAAUAUAAGAUUAAGCGCGGAAUUGCAAUUUUGUUUUACAUUUUACCUCAGAAGUUUAACUGUUAAUACAUAACCUUCAAAAGCAAAGGACAUUUCCAUGUUUCAUUUUCUGCAGUCGUUCCUACGACAAUAUCCAUCAUCUUUUUAUCCAUUCAUAUUCUCUCAAUCAUUUCAAGUAUUCCAUCAUUGUUCAUUCAAUUACGAUUGCACCAUAGAGACUCGUUUUUGCAAACACGUAACGCAAGAUGAUCUUUUAAGAGUGAUGACAAUAUUUUACAAAUGGUGUUCGAUGCUUUUCACAGAACUUCCAUUUUCUUUAUUACUAACAACCUUUGUUGAAAGCACACAAAAAAGAAAAAAAUACAAUUUGCGACUACCUUAAGGAAACAGUGAAAUUACGGGUAUCUACCGCUGGAAGGCGAAUGCUGGUGGAAAUUAUCAAAAAACAUAAACUUUAAUCUCUUUCUUAAGCGCCACGAGCUCGAAAAAGUUGUUAUAAAAAAAUGAAACGACCUGUUUAUGUUCUUAAUCAAUAGUUAUAUCAUUAAAUAUACAUCAUUAAAUUUUCAGUACUGUAAGUCAGUACCUUAGAAUAGUUACAGUAACUUUUGCGUCGUUCAAUUUAAUAAUUAAUUAAAUUCUUUGAUCAUUAAAUUUGAAUUUUUUAAUUGGUUGAUCUUGAGAAAGAAAGAUUUUGAAAAGUCAAAUUACCAAUUACAAAUAGUCUAAGUUGAAAUUCUUUUAAAAUUAGGCUACAAAUUCAAAAAGUUUGCAAUAUAAAUUUAAGAAAUUUCUAGAUUUCCUCGUAGAGAAUAAUUUAUAAGCAAAGAACUUGAUGUCCGACCAUGUGACCAUAAGCAAACCUAUUCUACUUUUCCCAACUAAAUCCCUAGAGUUCCAUUUCUAAAUUCAAAAACAAAUUAUAAAAUGUUCUGAAAAUAAUAAGAAAUUGUGUAACAAGUUUUGUCAAAAAUAUUUUAAAGACAUUACAUUUAAAAAAUAUAUUAUAUAAUAAAACUUAAAAAUAUUGUAUACAUGUACAUACAUAGCAUUUGAUAUUACUCUACGUUCAAAAAUUGCAUGCUACUGUACCACAUUCCAAUUAAACUGCACUAAAAGCUAUAUAACGAAGAGAGAGGCGACGAGAAUUGUUUAAUUUAGGUAAUAACGAAGUACAGCUCGAAAAGUUAUGGCAUGCAAGAAUGUUAGCCUCUUCAACUAAAAUUACAGACUACUUGAGUAAUUAUGUUAUUGUUUUCGUGAUUACGCUAACGUCGACGAACUCUACCGUUGAACUGCGUUGAUUGUACUUGAUUGUCUCGAAUGAAUAUUAUCUUCGUGUAUCAACUCGUUUUAAACGAUUAAAGUUAGAAUUGUCAACUAUGUACCUUAAGUGAAGCGCGUCACACGCAUUCAUCCCCCUAUCACGAAUGGAAGCUGCAAUUACGUUAAUUAUUUUUAUUGCAGCAUUUUUGACGCGUGUUAUAACGUCA